UGAACUAUUACAUAGUGUUUCAAUUUUGAAAACACAAACUAGGUAACCCUUAGGAGCUCUAAAACCAUACAUGUUACGUGCAUACCCAAAAUAAUCAAGACAUUCCAUGGCACUGUUGCCUAUUCUAGAAUAGACAAUAGUAAUGCUACAUGAACCUUUUUAUUCCCCCUCUCUUGAACCUUUUGAAAUAAGAAUGAGUAAGAACCUACAUAAAUUUCCCAGCCAUCUACACCCCAGAUUAAGCUAUGAGAGGGAAUGUUGACACAUGCAAGUUGCAUUUGACAUAUUUCCAAUCUGAGUCGAACAAAAUUGGAAAUUCCCUUCUUAUUCAAGAGAAAAAAAUUGCACUCACAACAUUAAACCAAUAGGAUGUCCAGUCCUUCAUGUUGAGGACAAGUUUGAGGUGGAGAACCUUUAUUUAUGUGAUAGUGAGGAAAUCACCAUACGAAGCAGGAUAUAUUGUUUAAAGUUAAUGCAUCAAUUGAAUGAGUUCAAGAAUGAAAGCAACAUCAAAGCUAAAGAAAGAGAGGUACACAAAUGAGGAACCUUCCCAUUACUAGUUUGGCCCCUUAAAAUGAUACUAGUAGUUUGUGACAAAUCUUUUUGUAUACUCUUCAAAUCGUGUAUUGAUCGUUCAAUAAUCAACAAAUAUAGAAAUGGAUUGAGCUUAGAAAACUGUAAUCCAAAACUGUAAUUUCUCUUUCAGUGAAAUGAUGAAUAAAUCAUUACAGAAGCAAUUUAGCCAAUAAGCACAGAACAAUAAAAGCCAAUUUUGAACGGCUAAACUUCUUAGUGCAUUAAGUUGAAUGUCUUGCCAAUUUUGAAAUACACCAACUUUACACCUUUCAGCUCCGCCAUUUACUUAUGUUCAAACCUUUGAAGUUUUUUCAUUAAAACAGCAACAAAAAACUAAGCUUUAUUCCCAAUAAAUUUGUGAGCUGGCUACAUGAACCUUUUGUCACUCUGCUCUUUUCAUUGCUAGA
This 983-nucleotide long non-coding RNA is filed under the name Olea europaea (common olive). RNAcentral's name for it is "long non-coding RNA (OEUR_LNC010403)". The record is from RNAcentral. Lineage: Eukaryota; Viridiplantae; Streptophyta; Magnoliopsida; Lamiales; Oleaceae.